Haplochromis burtoni (Burton's mouthbrooder) is the source of this 267-nucleotide long non-coding RNA. RefSeq lists it as uncharacterized. The transcript has 3 exons. Lineage: Eukaryota; Metazoa; Chordata; Actinopteri; Cichliformes; Cichlidae. The record is from RefSeq and is a predicted model, not a curated record.
GGGGGGGGUCUGUCUGUGUGUAAUUUGAUAUUUGUGGGUGUUUCAGGUAUGAGGAAGAGAUCAACUGCAGGGCCACUUCAGAGAAUGAUUUUGUACUGCUCAAAAAGGAUGUGGAUGAAGAAAUUAUGAGAAAGGUGGAUUUGGAAAGCCAGUUGACAGCUAUUCAGGAUGAAAUCUUGUUCCUCAGAGAAGUGCAUCAGAUGGAGCUGUAUGACAUGCAGCAGCGUGUGAAGGACACCUCUGUGGUGGUGCAGAUGACAACCUCCC